GCCAGCGGCUUGGUUCUGUUGCUAUAGCAACGCCUGAGGCCUUGUUCUCUCGCCAGGCCGGCCCGGUUUUUACAUAACUGAGUAAUGCAUAACAAACUGCUUUGUCUGGCGGCUUUUAAACACAGAGGUGUUACAAAGAUUUGGAGAGAUUCAUGGAAAAUUUACCAAAAUGACAAACAUGAGAUUCUACAGAUGCUAGGAGUCCAGAGCAACACACAAAAACGCUGGAGAACUCAGCAGACUAGUCAGAAGUCCCAACGCUUCAAUGUCCAGGUCACCAGAUGAUGGAUGUCGUACUCCUGCUAAUAUACUAGGACCCCACUUCCCUUUCUCAUUCUAAUACAUUAGUGCAGGGAUGGGAAACCUGACUGCAAGGAUUUUCUCUGGGUGCUCCAGUUUCCUUCCAUAUUCCAAAGACUUGCAGGUUAGUAAGUUGUGGGCAUGCUGUGUUGGUGCUGGAAGCAUGGUGCCACUGGCAGGCUGCUCCCAGCGCAUCCAGACUGUUGAACAUUGAUGUAAAUGAUGCAUUCACCGUAUGUUUCAUUGUAUAUAUCACAAACAAAGCUAAUGUUUAUCUUUAUAAUUAUGUACUUUUUAAUGAAGUGCUUAUUUGUGUGCAUUCAUUCUAUUUUUUCUUAAUAAAAGUAUAGCAGAGACAGAUUGAAAUAAAUAUUUUAGAAAACCUGUUCAAAAAUUAUUAAUAUUAAUGUUUUAAUUUAUUGUGCCAACCAACUGGUAGGCAUGUUCAAAGACAUGUUCAGUCUCUCAUUGCUACAGUCAGAGAUUCCCACCUGCUUCAAAAGGCCAACAAUCAUACCAGUGCCAAAGAAGAGUAGGAUGAGCUGCCUUAUAACUAUUGUCCAGCAGCACUCACAUCUACAGUGAUGAAGUGCUUUGAGAGUUUAGUUAUGGCUAGAAUCAACUACUGCCUAAGCAAGGACCUGGACCCACAGUAAUUUGCCUGUCACUACAAUAGGUCUACAGCAGAUGCGAUCUCAUUGGCUUUUCAUGGAGCAACAGAUCACCUGAUCAAUACUAAUACUUAUGUCAGACUGCUCUUUAUUGACAAUAACUCAGCAUUUAACACAAUCAGUUCUGAUCAAAAAAUUCCAAAACCUAGGCUGCUGUACCUCCCUCUGCAUCUGAAUCCUCGAUUUCCUCACCGGAACACCACAGUCUGUGUAGAUUAGAAAUAACAUCUACACAUCCCUGAUAAUCAACACUGGUGCACAUCAAGGAUGGUACUUGGCCCACUGCUCUACUCUCUCUACACCCAUGACUUUGUGGCUUGGCACAGUUGAAGUACAAUCUAUAAAUUUGCUGAUGACACAACUAUCAUUAGUAGAAUUUCAGAUGGUGACAAUGAAGCAUACAAGAUAGAUAGAUCAAGAACAAGAUAGAUCAGGUGGUUAAGUGAUGUUGCAACAACAGCCUUGCACUCAACGUCAGUAAUACCAGAGAAUUGAUUGUGGACUUCAGAAACGGUAAAACGAGGGAACACAAACCAAUCCUCAUCAAGGGAUCAGAAGAGGAAAGGGUGAGCAACUUCAAGCUCCUGGGUGUAAACAUCUGUGAGGAUCUAUCCUGAGCCCAACAUAUCAAUGUAGUUACAACGAAGGUAUGAAAGCAGCUGUAUUUCAUUAGGAGUUUGAGGAGAUUUGGUUUGUCACCCAAGGCACUUGCAAAUUUCUACAGAUGUGCUGUGGAGAGCUUUCUAAUUGGCUACAUCACUGUCCAGUAUGGGGUGGGGGAGGGGACCACUGCAUCAGGUCAAAAUAAACUGCAGAUAAUUGUUAUCUGUUAUUUUCACAUCUUCAAGGAAUGAUGUCUGAAAAAGACCUACAUUAGUAACCUGUUCUCGCAUUACAAAGAGGAUUUUUGCUUUCACAAAAAUUUUUCCCAUAUAAGUUAAUGGUUCUUUGCUUUAUGCCAUUUUGGCUGAAGAAAGGUUUCAUAGGAAUGCUCUACCUUUGUAAAAGGGGGGACACCUGUGUGUACGUACAUGCACGUGCGCGCGCGCGCACACACACACACACACACACACACACACUCACUCACUCACUCACUCACUCAC
Molecule: long non-coding RNA, 2074 nt
Organism: Hypanus sabinus (Atlantic stingray)
Lineage: Eukaryota; Metazoa; Chordata; Chondrichthyes; Myliobatiformes; Dasyatidae
Exons: 3
Source: RefSeq, a predicted model, not a curated record